Molecule: ribosomal RNA, 914 nt
Filed under: uncultured marine archaeon
Lineage: Archaea
Description: bacterial SSU rRNA
Rfam family: Archaeal small subunit ribosomal RNA
Source: RNAcentral
UUCCGGUUGAUCCCGCCGGACCUGACUGCUAUCGGAUUGAUACUAAGCCAUGCGAGUCUUUGCAGUAAUGCAAGGCAUACGGCUCAGUAACACGUAGUCAACUUACCCUAUGGACGAGGAUAAUCUCGGGAAACUGAGCAUAAUACUCGAUAGAUCAUAAUGCCUGGAAUGGUUUAUGGUUAAAAUGAUUCGUCGCCAUAGGAUGGGACUGCGGCCUAUCAGCUUGUUGGUGAGGUAAUGGCCCACCAAGGCGAUUACAGGUACGGGCUCUGAGAGGAGAAGCCCGGAGAUGGGUACUGAGACAAGGACCCAGGCCCUAUGGGGCGCAGCAGGCGAGAAAACUUUGCAAUGUGCGAAAGCACGACAAGGUUAAUCCGAGUGAUUUCUGCUAAAGAAAUCUUUUGCAAGUCAUAAAACCACUAGUGAAUAAGGGGUGGGCAAGUUCUGGUGUCAGUCGCCGCGGUAAAACCAGCACCUCAAGUGGUCAGGAGGAUUAUUGGGCCUAAAGCAUCCGUAGCCGGCUCUGUAAGUUUUCGGUUAAAUCCAUGUGCUCAACGCAUGGGCUGCCGAAAAUACUGCAUAGCUAGGGAGUGGGAGAGGUAGACGGUACUCGGUAGGAAGGGGUAAAAUCCUUUGAUCUAUCGAUGACCACCUGUGGCGAAGGCGGUCUACCAGAACACGUUCGACGGUGAGGGAUGAAAGCUGGGGGAGCAAACCGGAUUAGAUACCCGGGUAGUCCCAGCUGUAAACGAUGCAGACUCGAUGAUGCAUUGGCAUAUAGCCAGUGCAGUGUCGCAGGGAAGCCGUUAAGUCUGCCGCCUGGGAAGUACGUACGCAAGUAUGAAACUUAAAGGAAUUGGCGGGGGAGCACCACAAGGGGUGAAGCCUGCGGUUCAAUUGGAGUCAACGCCGGG